RNAcentral lists this microRNA precursor (60 nucleotides) under Spodoptera frugiperda (fall armyworm). RNAcentral describes it as "partial precursor microRNA 70". The record is from RNAcentral. Lineage: Eukaryota; Metazoa; Arthropoda; Insecta; Lepidoptera; Noctuidae.
UCAGCAAAGUGGUUGUGUCUUAUGAGAUCCAUGAACAUAUCACAGCCAGCUUUGUUGACU